This 1975-nucleotide ribosomal RNA is filed under the name biogas fermenter metagenome. RNAcentral's name for it is "bacterial LSU rRNA". It matches the Rfam family "Bacterial large subunit ribosomal RNA", at positions 1 to 2068 of the family's 2925-position model. The record is from RNAcentral.
UAAAGCUAAUAAGAGCGCAGGGCGGAUGCCUUGGCAUUGGGAGCCGAUGAAGGACGUGGUUAACUGCGAUAAGCUGCGGGGAGUUGUAAGCGAGCGAUAUUAUCCGCAGAUUUCCGAAUGGAGCAAUCCGUAUGAUUAAUCAUCAUACAUCAUAUACUGAAUACAUAGGUAUAUGAGGGGAACCGCCUGAACUGAAACAUCUAAGUAGGGCGAGGAAAAGAAAUCAACUGAGAUUUCGUAAGUAGUGGCGAGCGAACGCGAAAUAGGCCAAACCGAUAGUAGAAAUACUAACGGGGUUGUGGACUGUAUAAGGCAUGAUGUAACCUAGAAGAAGUGUAUGGGAAGACACGCCGAAGAAUGUGAAAGCCAUGUAUUCGAAAGGUGAAAACAGCCGACAGAAUCCAGAGUACCGCGGGACACGAGGAAUCCUGUGGGAAGCCGGGGGGACCACCCUCCAAGCCUAAAUACUACCCAAUGACCGAUAGCGAAAAGUACUGUGAAGGAAAGGUGAAAAGAACCCCGGGAGGGGAGUGAAAGAGAACCUGAAACCCUGUGCUUACAAGCACCUAGAGCACGUCAAAGUGUGAUAGGGUACCUAUUGUAGAAUGGUCCGGCGAGUUAUCGUAUUUAGCGAGGUUAAGGGCUUAAGGCCUGAAGCCGUAGGGAAGCCGAGUCUGAAAAGGGCGAAAUAGUUAGAUGCGAUAGACCCGAAACCGAGUGACCUAGCCAUGUCCAGGUUGAAGUGGAGGUAAAACUCCAUGGAGGACCGAACCGACCCCCGUUGAAAAGGUGGCGGAUGAGGUGUGGCUAGCGGAGAAAUUCCAAUCGAACUCGGAUAUAGCUGGUUCUCCCCGAAAUAGCUUUAGGGCUAGCGUUGUACAUGAUUAUUGGAGGUAAAGCACUGAAUGGGCUAGGGGCCGAGAGGUUACUGAACCUUAUCAAACUAAGAAUGCCAAUUAAUAUAGAGUACAGCAGUCAGACUAUGAGAGAUAAGUUUCAUAGUCGAAAGGGAAAGAGCCCAGACCCACAGCUAAGGUCCCAAAAUAGGUUUAAGUGGAGAAGGAUGUGGGGUUGCAUAGACAACCAGGAUGUUGGCUUAGAAGCAGCCAUACAUUAAAAGAGUGCGUAAUAGCUCACUGGUCGAGUGACCCUGCGCCGAAAAUUCAACGGGGCUAAAACCUAUACCGAAGCUUGGGCUUGAUACUAAAGUAUCAGGGGUAGGGGAGCGUCGUAUAAGGGGUGAAGUCAUAGCGUAAGCGAUGGUGGACUUUAUACGAGUGAGAAUGCCGGAAUGAGUAGCGAGAAUUAUGUGAGAAUCAUAAUGGCCGAAAAUCUAAGGAUUUAGGAGGAAGGUUCGUCCGCUCCUAGUAAGCCGGGAGCUAAGGUGAGGCGGAAACGCGUAGCCGAUGCACAUACGGUAGAAAUUCCGUAGCCUCCGAAAUAUUUAAGCACAAUGACACUUUGAAAGGGUUUAGCCGGGCGAUGGUUGCCCCGGUCGUAAGGGACUGAAAAUGUUCGGGAAGUAAACUUGGACGAAGGCGAGAAAAGUUGUGUGUAUAUAUGAGGAGCCCGUACCGCAAACCGACACAGGUAGAUAGGAAGAGGAUUCUAAGGCCAACGGGAGAAGGGUUGUUAAGGAACUCGGCAAAUUGACCCCGUAACUUUGGGAGAAGGGGUGCUCUAGAGAUAGAGCCGCAGAGAAUAGGUCCAAGCGACUGUUUAGCAAAAACACAGCUCUAUGCUAAAUCGAAAGAUGACGUAUAUGGGGUGACACCUGCCCGGUGCUGGAAGGUUAAGAGGAGGAGUGAGAGCUCUGAAUUGAAGCCCCAGUAAACGGCGGCCGUAACUAUAACGGUCCUAAGGUAGCGAAAUUCCUUGUCAGGUAAGUUCUGACCCGCACGAAUGGUGUAACGAUUUGGACACUGUCUCAACAGCCCGCCCGGCGAAAUUGUAGUACCGGUGAAGAUGCCGGUUA